Molecule: long non-coding RNA, 1464 nt
Filed under: Triticum aestivum (bread wheat)
Lineage: Eukaryota; Viridiplantae; Streptophyta; Magnoliopsida; Poales; Poaceae
Description: long non-coding RNA (TAES_LNC005699)
Source: RNAcentral
UAUUUUACAGGGGUAUGGCGCUGUGAAAGGCCAAUCCAAUCAGGGCCUAAAUUCAUAUUUCAGUUAGCCCUUGUGGCACUUUACAUUAGAUGCUACUCCCUCCGAUCCAAAAUAAGUGUUGUGGUUUUAGUUCAAUUUUUUCCUAAAACAACGACACUUAUUUUGUAUCGGAGGGAGUACUACCCUUUUCUAUACCUGAGAGGAUGGUAUUGAUACUCAGGAGGGAGGGAGAGAUUACAAGAUCAGGGUAAUGAGGAUAGUAGUGUGAGGAUUGUGGUUGAAAGUUGAAGGGAUAUGAACAAGGGAAACUACAUGUUAAUUGUAGUGAUUUCUGGAUAUUCUGUCCAAGGUUUUCUUUGCAGAUCAUGCUCCCUUUUUUUUCUUUACAAGAGAACUGGAAUUGUUAAUGACACGAGAACACAGUGGACUAGAUGUCUCUGUGCCUCUCUUUUAUGCUGGGGUAAUGUUUUUGUGCCUUGACAUGCAUUUCGAAUACAAGACACACAGAUAGGCAGUGAAAGCAUUGUUCUGAAGUCAUGUGGGUGUAUUGCAUACAAAAAAUAAAGAAAACUUGGUAGUGAUCCAACAUCUGGUUGGCUAGAGUUCAGAUUGAGUGUUAAAGCUUCAUGCUUCAUGCUUCACAAAAUGUGUUACUCAUGCUGCUACAUUGUUAUUAUUAUUGUUUCUAAUAUAGUUUUGUGGUUUUGUAGUGAUGCCUUGCAUUCGAUAUCAUAUGCUUUACAUCUUGUAAUUAUUUGGAUAAGGCCACAAAGUGACCGUUUGCUCUCCUUUUGCAGGCAAAUAGGGUGCAUUUCUGGGCAUGUGCAGACGACAUUCAUGUUGCUUCGCCUGUUUAAGAUGUUGUCAUUUUCAUCUCCAUCAUUCGGGUCACUUGAAGAGAACAGAAAUAUCGGGUCAUGUUCAGUUACCAGCAUUCCGGACUCGCAGGGAGGUAGCUAAUGUUCCUUUUAAAUGUAGCUAAUGUUAAGGAGAACAAUGGUUCCCAGGGGCACAAGUGAAAUGACACUGCCGGGAAGGCAGGUGCACCAACCGUGGCUUCACGGAAUUGAACAAUCCCCGGCAUGAGCUGAUCCAUGGAGGUUGGCUCUCAUGUCUCAUCGGCACCAUAGCGACUUUGUGAGUGGCAAUUAAUUGAUAAGAGUACGUGUGCUAGAAUAGCAUAGUCCGUGUUGACCUACGCUCAGCUGAAUCGUUGAUUCGUGGAUAAGUGUACGCUCACACAGAGUACAUAUCAGUUUUUAAGCCGCCUAUCCAUCAUUGAUAUCCAGGAAUCGUGCGUGCCAUACGCGUAGAUGGUGGUUGGCGGAGGGCUACCAUACGACAAACUGCACAACUAGAUCAGGUUUUUUCUGCCAAGAGCUACUCAGAUGUUCAAACACGACGAAAUUUGGCAUGGAGUAUUUGUUUUUGAAUUUGCUCUUCACCGGGAGCAGACGAGCCUGG